Molecule: long non-coding RNA, 884 nt
Filed under: Camelus dromedarius (Arabian camel)
Lineage: Eukaryota; Metazoa; Chordata; Mammalia; Artiodactyla; Camelidae
Description: lncRNA (ENSCDRG00005000896.1)
Source: RNAcentral
CUUCUCUCUUUCUUCAAAAUUCCGAAGACUUCUUUCAAAAGAUAGAGAGGAAACGAGAAAAAAAAAAAUUAAGCUACAGUUUUCUGCUGAAUUUAAACUCCAGUCUAAAGACACUAUGCAAAUGGCUUAUGCUAAGAGGAAAAUACCCCUUCUCCCCCGACGAGAAGUGUAGAUGCAUCCAAAACCCCUCACCGCUUGUCUCUGCUGCCAGAGGCCCAGUACGGGCACAACUUGUGGUUAUGUUUUGGCUUGUUUCUUACCUCCGGGCCUUCUUUAUAGCUCUGCCCCCCACCCCACCAGCGGCGGCGCUCCCGCGGCGGCACCCAGGCCGCCUGUUGGCUGCGGCGCCCGGCCGGCUCGGCACACUCCCCGCGCCGCGGCGCACACGCGCGCCCCCGCCUCUUCCCGCCUGGGCCGCUCCGCCGGCGGCGGAGGCGGCGGUGAUGGUGGCAGGUAGCGAGCCAGCCGGCCUCGGUCCGGUAACCCAUGGCAACCGCCCUGGAUUGUCAAACCCAAAACAGAUCCACCCACUGAGGCGGCGGAGAAAAAGCGGUUCGGCGGGUGCAGCACUCAGGAAAUGAGGUGGCAAGCUAGACACACACCUACUUUGAGACAGCGUGCACAGGGCUCCCGAAGUAUGCAUUGACACCAUACGCUGCCAAUGAUCCGGGCCUGGGGGAGUCCCCGAGGGUGCAUCGGCUCCACACACGGCCACGGCUCCUACAGGGCUUUUAUGGCACAGCUUGCCAAUGAUCCGUGCAUUAAAGACUCCCGGAGUACUCAUUGACACGAUAGACUGGAGUUGUUUGGGUCUACCGUGCCGAUGAUCCGGGGAUAAUUGCGGUGUCUUAAGCGCUUUCAUUGAGAUCAAAGUGCUCCCGGUC